RNAcentral lists this ribosomal RNA (253 nucleotides) under uncultured bacterium. Its description in RNAcentral is "partial 16S ribosomal RNA". It matches the Rfam family "Bacterial small subunit ribosomal RNA", at positions 524 to 776 of the family's 1533-position model. The record is from RNAcentral.
UACGAAGGGGGCUAGCGUUGUUCGGAAUUACUGGGCGUAAAGCGCACGUAGGCGGACAUUUAAGUCAGGGGUGAAAUCCCGGGGCUCAACCCCGGAACUGCCUUUGAUACUGGGUGUCUAGAGUAUGGAAGAGGUGAGUGGAAUUCCGAGUGUAGAGGUGAAAUUCGUAGAUAUUCGGAGGAACACCAGUGGCGAAGGCGGCUCACUGGCCCAUAACUGACGCUGAGGCACGAAAGCGUGGGGAGCAAACAGG